GUGAGCGGCGGACGGGUUAGUAACGCGUGGGAAUAUGCCCAAAGGUACGGAAUAGCCUCUGGAAACGGAGAGUAAUACCGUAUGUGCCCUUCGGGGGAAAGAUUUAUCGCCUUUGGAUUAGCCCGCGUUAGAUUAGGUAGUUGGUGGGGUAAUGGCCUACCAAGCCUACGAUCUAUAGCUGGUUUUAGAGGAUGAUCAGCAACACUGGGACUGAGACACGGCCCAGACUCCUACGGGAGGCAGCAGUGGGGAAUCUUGGACAAUGGGGGCAACCCUGAUCCAGCCAUGCCGCGUGAGUGAUGAAGGCCUUAGGGUCGUAAAGCUCUUUCGCCUGUGAAGAUAAUGACGGUAGCAGGUAAAGAAACCCCGGCUAACUCCGUGCCAGCAGCCGCGGUAAUACGGAGGGGGUUAGCGUUGUUCGGAAUUACUGGGCGUAAAGCGCACGUAGGCGGAUCGGAAAGUUGGGGGUGAAAUCCCGGGGCUCAACCCCGGAACUGCCUCCAAAACUAUCGGUCUAGAGUUCGAGAGAGGUGAGUGGAAUUCCGAGUGUAGAGGUGAAAUUCGUAGAUAUUCGGAGGAACACCAGUGGCGAAGGCGGCUCACUGGCUCGAUACUGACGCUGAGGUGCGAAAGUGUGGGGAGCAAACAGGAUUAGAUACCCUGGUAGUCCACACCGUAAACGAUGAAUGCCAGUCGUCGGGUAGCAUGCUAUUCGGUGACACACCUAACGGAUUAAGCAUUCCGCCUGGGGAGUACGGUCGCAAGA
Molecule: ribosomal RNA, 766 nt
Filed under: Rhodobacteraceae bacterium N05ML8
Lineage: Bacteria; Pseudomonadati; Pseudomonadota; Alphaproteobacteria; Rhodobacterales; Paracoccaceae
Description: bacterial SSU rRNA
Rfam family: Bacterial small subunit ribosomal RNA
Source: RNAcentral